GUUUGAUCCUGGCUCAGAACGAACGCUGGCGGCACGCCUAACACAUGCAAGUCGAGCGCACCUUCGGGUGAGCGGCGGACGGGUUAGUAACGCGUGGGAACAUACCCUUCUNUAAGGAAUAGCCACUGGAAACGGUGAGUAAUACCUUAUACGCCCUUCGGGGGAAAGAUUUANCGGAGAUGGAUUGGCCCGCGUUAGAUUAGAUAGUUGGUGGGGUAAUGGCCUACCAAGUCUACGAUCUAUAGCUGGUUUUAGAGGAUGAUCAGCAACACUGGGACUGAGACACGGCCCAGACUCCUACGGGAGGCAGCAGUGGGGAAUCUUAGACNAUGGGCGCAAGCCUGAUCUAGCGAUGCCGCGUGUGUGAUGAAGGUCUUAGGAUCGUAAAGCACUUUCACCNGGGAUGAUAAUGACAGUACCUGGAAAAGAAACCCCGGCUAACUCCGUGCCAGCAGCCGCGGUAAUAAGG
This 469-nucleotide ribosomal RNA is filed under the name uncultured Alphaproteobacteria bacterium. RNAcentral's name for it is "bacterial SSU rRNA". It matches the Rfam family "Bacterial small subunit ribosomal RNA", at positions 11 to 528 of the family's 1533-position model. Lineage: Bacteria; Pseudomonadati; Pseudomonadota; Alphaproteobacteria. The record is from RNAcentral.